Long non-coding RNA from Thalassophryne amazonica, 146 nucleotides. RefSeq lists it as uncharacterized. NCBI's taxonomy places the organism in Eukaryota, Metazoa, Chordata, Actinopteri, Batrachoidiformes, Batrachoididae. The transcript has 3 exons. The record is from RefSeq and is a predicted model, not a curated record.
ACAACCAACCAGUGAUAAGGAGGCUCAAUUUCCCAUAAUGCCUUUGGGCAUCUGUGAGUUUUAAUGCUCAAACCUUCAGAAUUAGUGCAUUACUUUAAACUAAAAUAUAUUUGUGAUAUUUUCACUUUUUUAACAUUUUCACAGAA